RNAcentral lists this long non-coding RNA (868 nucleotides) under Cyanistes caeruleus (blue tit). Its description in RNAcentral is "lncRNA (ENSCCEG00000016369.1)". Lineage: Eukaryota; Metazoa; Chordata; Aves; Passeriformes; Paridae. The record is from RNAcentral.
UUUUUAUGUUUUUAAAGAUAUUAAUCUUCAGUAGAAAAAAAAAAAAAAAAGAGUUUUUCCUCUCUGCGUCCUGUAAUACCUAUGGAAUCACACUACCAACCUGGAAUCACACUACCAACCUGCCUUGAAAUCCUGAUAGAGAUAAAGCAUUCUAAUUUCCUUACAAGACAAGCUAGCAAACUGUAGCACGUCUAACUGAUAUCUCAUGGCAGACCAGCUUACUUUCACCUCUUGAGCAAGUGAGAGACAUAGGAAGAAAAAGCUUCCUCAAGAUAACAGCAGAAGCUUGAGUACGUGCACUCAGUGGAUCAAAACAUGAAGCUUAGCUGACAGCAUUUCCUUCUCCAUCCACAACACUGGUAUCCUCUGCCUGAUAUUUCCAAGGAGGAACAGUUCUCUGGUGGGAACUUCAAGAGCUCUGAGCAGGGGGAUCACCCCUUUCCUCAGUCUGCCACUGCAGCCCAGCCAGCCUGCACACUGUGGGGCACUGCCCGUGCCCAUUGCUGCCCUGCCCAGACUUGCUGAGGGUGCACUGUGUCCCACUGCCCAGGCCACUGGGAAGGGUGCUCUGUUCCAGGAGCUUCCUCUGAGAAAUGUCACGCAAGACUUGUUGCUAGCCAGGCUGUGAGUUUCUCCUGAGCAUCUCUUGGAGUUUCUCAGCCUACCCUGUGGUUCACAAAGCCUGUCCACAUUUUUAGUUUGUUUGCAAGAGUUCUGCACAUCAAAAACCUUGAAAAUUUCAAGGUAUACUUUACUAUUCUUAAUCUUGACAUUUGUUCUUUUAUACAUUUUUACUUUUAAAAACACCUGAAUACUUAAAAAUGCAAAUUAAGCUUACUUGGGAAAAUAAAAAAUAAAAGCUAGUUCA